CGUCCGCAAGGGGCAACCGGCGAACGGGUGAGUAACACGUGGGCAACCUGCCCCGAGCUCUGGGAUAACCCCGGGAAACCGGGGCUAAUACCGGAUAUGACAUCGACAGACAUCUGUCGUUGUGGAAAGUUUUUCGGCUCGGGAUGGGCCCGCGGCCUAUCAGCUUGUUGGUGGGGUAACGGCCUACCAAGGCGACGACGGGUAGCCGGCCUGAGAGGGCGACCGGCCACACUGGGACUGAGACACGGCCCAG
This 253-nucleotide ribosomal RNA is filed under the name uncultured bacterium. RNAcentral's name for it is "partial 16S ribosomal RNA". It matches the Rfam family "Bacterial small subunit ribosomal RNA", at positions 78 to 334 of the family's 1533-position model. The record is from RNAcentral.